Molecule: long non-coding RNA, 1352 nt
Filed under: Junco hyemalis (dark-eyed junco)
Lineage: Eukaryota; Metazoa; Chordata; Aves; Passeriformes; Passerellidae
Description: lncRNA (ENSJHYG00000004274.1)
Source: RNAcentral
AUAAUUCCUGCCCCUCCUCUGGAUUGGCGCCGCGGCACUGGGAAGGUGCUCGCUGAGCUCUGACGUUAAUGAGACUCGUUAAUGAGACAGCUGAUUAUUCACUGACAAGCUGCACUGCCGGCUGGGGGAGGGAUACGCAGGGGAAUUGUUUGGAUGGGGAGAGGCAGCGCUCCCAAGCUGAGAAACAGCGCUGGGAAGGUUUUCUCUCAAUGGCAAAGCGACAAGCAGGGAUGCUGGGAUGAUUCCAAGGCUUUGUCUGGCAGGGGAAGGUGCUGCUUCUUGCCUUCCCGUGUUCCAGGUGAGACCAGGGGGCUGUGGAUGCUGGGAUUGGACACAGAAAAGCUGAGGACUGGCAGAGCAUCUGGUGAAGGGACAAGGAAGAAGAGAGUGAAGUAAAACUGGACAGAUCUUGCUGUGGGUGUUGCCUACCUGACCUGGAAUGCUCCUCCACAUCCUGCAUGGCCUUGUGCAUGGAGCUGAGCUGCAGCCUCUCCUCUCCCGGAGCCUCCAGCUGCUGCCUCAAACUGCUGAUGUACAACUCAAACAUGGACUCCAGAUUAUUCUACACAAUUUUCUGGCCUUUUAAGAGGCUCCAUUUGGUCUCCAGAACUUUGUUCUGUUGCUCCAGGAACCGCACCUGAAAGCCAUCAGAACAAUAUAAAUCAGGAUUCUUAACUCAAAACUUGCCUCGCUUUUCAUUAAAUGGAAGUUUAAUAUGGUGGGGGUUGUAAAUGUUUUCUGUAAUUUGAAGCAUGAUUAGAUGGGCUUGUUACCAAAAGAUCAUUGGUGAGAAGAUCUGGGAGCCGGGAGAAAUACUCAGCUACAUUGAAACCUGGAGAAAUAAUUUCCUCCGUGCUCAGAUUGUCAAAAAUAUGUAUAUGGACAGUCUGCAUAUGGAACAAAGUCCUGCACAAAAUCCUUAACUCUGCUUUAAGGAUUUAGAAUUAAAUUUCUAAUGUUGAGAACUUCCUGACUCCAUCUCCAGGUAAUGCCAGAGCUGGAGGAGGACAACGUGCCUCACCUUGUUGAUGAAGGAGGCAAAUUAGCUGUUGAAGGAUUUAAUUUGGUCCUUGUCCUCCUGCUGCACAUUGGGGUCAAUCUUGGUUCAGGGGCACCAAGAGGCACUGGUUGACCACUGUAGCCACAUUUCUCUUCACAGAGAAAAGCAAGGCACAAUUCUUCCCAAGAAUACUUCGGGUUUCACAUUCUCUGAACUGCAGAGAAAGGAAAAAUAAUUCUUAUCAUUUGCUGUGCCUGUAUUUGUGCAAAAGUAGAAUGCAGUAUGGAAGUUGUUUACCCAAAGUGAUGGUGUUUUGUUUCCUUGGCCGCUCAGGGCCAAGUGUGUGUGUGUG